UGAUGCCUGACACGGUUCAAGAUUCAAUAACAACAGUGUCAGGACAGUACGUAAGGUACUCUCUCUUGUCCAACCUUUCAGCUACGAAACUGUGAAGCUUUCGAUAACAUACAUUUGAGAUUUUCCUUUUGCCAGAGUAUUUAUAUACCGUUCCAUAACAACUAGAAACACAUGAUCCGUUAUAGGCGACUAACAUGCUAGCAAUCCACGGGAUGCCCACGCUCAUAUAGCACUUAGCCAACCUCUUCCAACCUUCUUCCCUUACUUGAGGUAUGGCCCAGGAAAGAAUGAUCUUUUCAUAUGGUGACGUCGAGUUUGACCAAGCGUUGGAGGCAGGUGAGACGAGUGAGAAGAAAAUAAGUGGAUUGAAAGAAUUUGAUGAGAGAACGGUGGAAGACACCUUGGCGAAACUGAGUUCUUCCAUCCGUAAGAACGAUGCAUCUUCU
RNAcentral lists this small RNA (446 nucleotides) under Cryptococcus neoformans H99. RNAcentral describes it as "Cryptococcus neoformans var. grubii H99 hypothetical RNA". Lineage: Eukaryota; Fungi; Basidiomycota; Tremellomycetes; Tremellales; Cryptococcaceae. The record is from RNAcentral.